UACGUAGGUGGCAAGCGUUGUCCGGAAUUACUGGGCGUAAAGAGCUCGUAGGUGGUUUGUCGCGUUGUUCGUGAAAUCUCACGGCUUAACUGUGAGCGUGCGGGCGAUACGGGCAGACUAGAGUACUGCAGGGGAGACUGGAAUUCCUGGUGUAGCGGUGGAAUGCGCAGAUAUCAGGAGGAACACCGGUGGCGAAGGCGGGUCUCUGGGCAGUAACUGACACUGAGGAGCGAAAGCGUGGGGAGCGAACAGG
This 253-nucleotide ribosomal RNA is filed under the name uncultured bacterium. RNAcentral's name for it is "partial 16S ribosomal RNA". It matches the Rfam family "Bacterial small subunit ribosomal RNA", at positions 524 to 776 of the family's 1533-position model. The record is from RNAcentral.